UUUCUCUUCUCUUGGGUGUUCUAUACACCCCUUCCUUGGGAUGCGCACCCCAAGGAGUUUCAUUCCCAAAGAAGUUUGGAUGCCUCUUUCUUAUUGGUUUCUAGCAUCUGGUAGCAGCACAUAGCAAAAAGAAACUCUAAAGAAGAGGAGAAGAAGAAGAUCAAGGAGAAAGAUCAAGUGUUGAUCGCGAUCCAGAUUUCGUUC
Molecule: long non-coding RNA, 204 nt
Filed under: Elaeis guineensis (African oil palm)
Lineage: Eukaryota; Viridiplantae; Streptophyta; Magnoliopsida; Arecales; Arecaceae
Description: long non-coding RNA (EGUI_LNC067717)
Source: RNAcentral